RNAcentral lists this ribosomal RNA (301 nucleotides) under uncultured bacterium. Its description in RNAcentral is "partial 16S ribosomal RNA". It matches the Rfam family "Bacterial small subunit ribosomal RNA", at positions 512 to 808 of the family's 1533-position model. The record is from RNAcentral.
CAGCCGCCCGGGAAUACGAAGGGGGCUAGCGUUGCUCGGAAUGACUGGGCGUAAAGGGCGCGUAGGCGGUUCGUACAGUUGGAUGUGAAAUUCCUGGGCUUAACCUGGGGGCUGCAUUCAAUACGUGCGGGCUAGAAUGUGGAAGAGGGUUGUGGAAUUCCCAGUGUAGAAGUGAAAUUCGUAGAUAUUGGGAAGAACACCGGUGGCGAAGGCGGCAACCUGGUCCAUAAUUGACGCUGAGGCGCGAAAGCGUGGGGAGCAAAUGGGAUUAGAUACCCGGGUAGUCCCUGUCUCUUAUACA